Molecule: ribosomal RNA, 497 nt
Filed under: uncultured bacterium
Lineage: Bacteria
Description: partial 16S ribosomal RNA
Rfam family: Bacterial small subunit ribosomal RNA
Source: RNAcentral
GAUGAACGCUGGCGGCGUGCCUAAUACAUGCAAGUCGAGCGAACGGACGAGAAGCUUGCUUCUCUGAUGUUAGCGGCGGACGGGUGAGUAACACGUGGAUAACCUACCUAUAAGACUGGGAUAACUUCGGGAAACCGGAGCUAAUACCGGAUGAUAUUUUGAACCGCAUGGUUCAAAAGUGAAAGACGGUCUUGCUGUCACUUAUAGAUGGAUCCGCGCUGCAUUAGCUAGUUGGUAAGGUAACGGCUUACCAAGGCAACGAUGCAUGGCCGACCUGAGAGAGUGAUCGGCCACACUGGAACUGAGACACGGUCAAGACGCCUACGGGAGGCAGCAGUAGGGAAUCUGCCGCAAAGGGCGAAAGCAUGACGGAGCAACGCCGCGUGAGUGAUGAAGGUCUUCGGAUCGUAAAACUCUGUUAUUAGGGAAGAACAUAUGUGUAAGUAACUGUGCACAGCUUGACGGUAACUAAUCAGAAAGCCACGGCUAACUACGUG